GAUGAACGCUGGCGGCGUGCCUAAUACAUGCAAGUCGAGCGAACGGACGAGAAGCUUGCUUCUCUGAUGUUAGCGGCGGACGGGUGAGUAACACGUGGAUAACCUACCUAUAAGAAUGGGAUAACUUCGGGAAACCGGAGCUAAUACCGGAUAAUAUUUUGAACCACAUGCUUCAAAAGUGAAUGACGGCUUUGUUGUAACUUACUGUUGGAUCCCCGUUGCAUUAGCUAGUUGGUAAGGUAACGGCUUACCAAGGAAACGAUGCAUAGCCGACAUUGGAGGGUGGUCGGCCACACUGGAACUGAGGCACGGUCCAGACUCCUACGGGAGGCAGCAGUAGGGAAUCUUCCGCAAUGGGCGAAAGCCUGGCGGAGCAACGCCGCGUGAGUGAUGAAGGUCUUCGGAUCGUAAAACUCUGUUAUUAGGGAAGAACAUAUGUGUAAGUAACUGUGCACAGCUUGACGGUACCUAAUCAGAAAGCCACGGCUAACUACGUG
This 497-nucleotide ribosomal RNA is filed under the name uncultured bacterium. Its description in RNAcentral is "partial 16S ribosomal RNA". It matches the Rfam family "Bacterial small subunit ribosomal RNA", at positions 28 to 507 of the family's 1533-position model. The record is from RNAcentral.